Molecule: ribosomal RNA, 453 nt
Filed under: Lachnospiraceae bacterium oral taxon A17
Lineage: Bacteria; Bacillati; Bacillota; Clostridia; Lachnospirales; Lachnospiraceae
Description: bacterial SSU rRNA
Rfam family: Bacterial small subunit ribosomal RNA
Source: RNAcentral
GAUGAACGCGGCGGCGUGCUUAACACAUGCAAGUCGAACGAGAGAUACAGGAGGAAGUUUUCGGACGGAAUCCGGUAGAUCGAGUGGCGGACGGGUGAGUAACGCGUGGGGAACCUGCCUCAUACAGGGGGAUAACAGUUGGAAACGACUGUUAAUACCGCAUAAGACCACAGAGUCGCAUGACUCAGGGGUAAAAACUCCGGUGGUAUGAGAUGGACCCGCGUUCGAUUAGCCAGUUGGCGGGGUAACGGCCCACCAAAGCGACGAUCGAUAGCCGAUUUGAGAGAAUGACCGGCCACAUUGGGACUGAGACACGGCCCAAACUCCUGCGGGAGGCAGCAGUGGGGAAUAUUGCACAAUGGGGGGAACCCUGAUGCAGCGACGCCGCGUGAGUGAAGAAGUAUUUCGGUAUGUAAAGCUCUAUCAGCAGGGAAGAAGAUGACGGUACCUGAU